UACGGAGGGUGCGAGCGUUACCCGGAUUUACUGGGCGUAAAGGGCGUGUAGGCGGUUUUCUAAGUCCGGGGCUAAAGACCAGGGCUCAACACUGGGUUUGCCUUGGAUACUGGAAAGAUCGACGGCUGGAGGGGGCAGCGGAAUUUCCGGAGUAGCGGUGAAAUGAGCAGAUACCGGAAGGAACGCCAAUAGCGAAGGCAGCUGCAUGGACAGUACGUGACGCUGAGGCGCGAAAGCGUGGGGAGCAAACCGG
Molecule: ribosomal RNA, 253 nt
Filed under: uncultured bacterium
Lineage: Bacteria
Description: partial 16S ribosomal RNA
Rfam family: Bacterial small subunit ribosomal RNA
Source: RNAcentral